UCAAGUUAUUAAGGGUGCAGGGCGGAUGCCUUGGCACUAGGAGCCGAUGAAGGACGUGAUAAGCUGCGAUAAGCUUCGGGGAGUUGCACGUAAACUUUGAUCCGAAGAUUUCCGAAUGAGGAAACUCACUUAGAGUAAUGUCUAAGUAUCAUUAAGUGAAUACAUAGCUUAAUGAGGGGAACUCAGGGAACUGAAACAUCUAAGUACCUGAAGGAAGAGAAAGAAAUUCGAUUCCGUAAGUAGCGGCGAGCGAACGCGGAUUAGCCCAAACCAAUAAAGUUUUCUUUAUUGGGGUUGCGGACAUAUCAUAACGAAGAGGUAUCGUAAUUGAAGAGGUUUGGAAAGACCCACCACAGAAGGUAAUAGUCCUGUAUGUUAAACGAGAAGACUUCAGAUAUGAUCCAGAGUACCACGGGACACGUGAAACCCUGUGGGAAGCAGGAGGGACCACCCUCCAAGGCUAAAUACUACCUAGUGACCGAUAGCGUAUAGUACCGUGAGGGAAAGGUGAAAAGAACCCCGGGAGGGGAGUGAAAUAGAACCUGAAACCCUGCACUUACAAGCUGUGGAAGCACAUUUCUUGUGUGACCGCGUACUUUUUGUAGAACGGGCCAACGAGUUACGUUAAGUAGCAAGGUUAAGCACUUAAGGUGCGGAGCCGUAGCGAAAGCGAGUUUUAACUGAGCGUUCAGUUACUUGACGUAGACCCGAAACCGGGCGACCUACCCAUGAGCAGGAUGAAGCGAAAGUAAAAUUUCGUGGAGGUCCGAACCCACGAGCGUUGAAAAGCUCGGGGAUGACUUGUGGGUAGCGGUGAAAUUCCAAUCGAGCCCGGAGAUAGCUGGUUCUCCCCGAAAUAGCUUUAGGGCUAGCCUCAAGGUGAGAGAUACGGAGGUAGAGCACUGAAUGUCCUAGGGGGUAUUGCACCUACCGAAGACUAUCAAACUCCGAAUGCCGUCAUCUUAUACUUGGGAGUCAGACUGUGGGUGAUAAGAUUCAUAGUCGAAAGGGCAACAGCCCAGAUCGUCAGCUAAGGUCCCUAAAUGUAAGUUAAGUGGUAAAGGAUGUGGGAUUGCACAGACAACCAGGAUGUUGGCUUAGAAGCAGCCACUCAUUCAAAGAGUGCGUAAUAGCUCACUGGUCGAGUGAUCCUGCGCCGAAGAUUUCCGGGGCUAAAACUUACUACCGAAGCUACGGCAUCAGUAAUGAUGGGUAGGGGAGCUUCCCAUACGGGUUGAAGCAUGACCGUAAGGACAUGUGGACAGUAUGGGAGUGAGAAUGUUGGCAUGAGUAGCGAGAUGUGGGUGAGAAUCCCACAGGCCGUAAACCCAAGGUUUCCAGGGGAAGGUUCGUCCGCCCUGGGUUAGUCGGGACCUAAGCUGAGGCCGAAAGGCGUAGGUGAUGGACAACAGGUUGAUAUUCCUGUACUACCGAUAACCGUUUGAGAGAAGGGAUGACACAGUAGGAUAAGCUAAGCACACUGUUGGUUAUGUGUGCCCAAGCAUUGAGGCGGUCAAAGUAGGCAAAUCCGCUUUGAUAAUGCUGGGAUGUGAUGGGGAGCGAAAUUUAGUAGCGAAGUAGCUGAUUUCACACUGUCAAGAAAAGUCUCUAUCGAGGUUAAAGGUACCCGUACCGCAAACCGACACAGGUGGGUGAGGAGAGUAUCCUAAGGCCAGCGAGAGAACUGUUGUUAAGGAACUCGGCAAAAUGACCCCGUAACUUAGGGAUAAGGGGUGCCACCAUCAGGUGGCCGCAGAGAAUAGGCCCAAGCGACUGUUUACCAAAAACAUAGGUUUCUGCUAAGUCGCAAGACGAUGUAUAGGAGCUGACGCCUGCCCGGUGCUGGAAGGUUAAGGGGAUCUGUUAGAGCAAUCGAAGCAGUGAACUUAAGCCCCAGUAAACGGCGGCCGUAACUAUAACGGUCCUAAGGUAGCGAAAUUCCUUGUCGGGUAAGUUCCGACCCGCACGAAAGGCGUAACGAUUUGGGCACUGUCUCAACAACAGACUCGGUGAAAUUGUAAUUCCGGUGAAGAUGCCGGAUACCUGCGACAGGACGGAAAGACCCCAUGGAGCUUUACUGUAGCUUGACAUUGGGUCUUGGUACUACAUGUACAGGAUAGGUGGGAGGCUUUGAAACCAGGACGCCAGUUUUGGCGGAGCCAUCCUUGGGAUACCACCCUUGUAGUACUGGGACUCUAACCAUAGGCCAUGAAUCUGGUCUUGGGACACUGUCAGGUGGGCAGUUUGACUGGGGCGGUCGCCUCCCAAAAGGUAACGGAGGCGCUCAAAGGUUCUCUCAGUACGGUCGGAAAUCGUACGUAGAGUGUAAAGGCAAAAGAGAGCUUGAUUGCAAGACAUACAGGUCGAGCAAGGAUGAAAAUCGGACUUAGUGAUCCGGUGGUUCUGCGUGGAAGGGCCAUCGCUCAACGGAUAAAAGCUACCCUGGGGAUAACAGGCUUAUCUCCCCCAAGAGUCCACAUCGACGGGGAGGUUUGGCACCUCGAUGUCGGCUCAUCACAUCCUGGGGCUGUAGUAGGUCCCAAGGGUUGGGCUGUUCGCCCAUUAAAGUGGUACGCGAGCUGGGUUCAGAACGUCGUGAGACAGUUCGGUCCCUAUCCGUCGCAGGCGUAGGAAAUUUGAGAAGACCUGUCCUUAGUACGAGAGGACCGGGAUGGACGUACCUCUGGUGUACCAGUUGUCCUGCCAAGGGCAUGGCUGGGUAGCUAUGUACGGAAUGGAUAAGCGCUGAAAGCAUCUAAGCGCGAAGCCAACUUCAAGAUAAGAUUUCCCACCGCAAGGGUAAGACCCCAGAAAGACUAUCUGGUUGAUAGGUCGAAGGUGUAAGUGCAGUAAUGUAUUUAGCUUAUCGAUACUAAUAGGUCGAGGACUUGACCAA
Molecule: ribosomal RNA, 2896 nt
Filed under: Clostridioides difficile
Lineage: Bacteria; Bacillati; Bacillota; Clostridia; Peptostreptococcales; Peptostreptococcaceae
Also listed under: 3 other names
Description: bacterial LSU rRNA
Rfam family: Bacterial large subunit ribosomal RNA
Source: RNAcentral